RNAcentral lists this non-coding RNA (951 nucleotides) under Genetta maculata (panther genet). RNAcentral describes it as "12S ribosomal RNA". It matches the Rfam family "Bacterial small subunit ribosomal RNA". The record is from RNAcentral. Lineage: Eukaryota; Metazoa; Chordata; Mammalia; Carnivora; Viverridae.
CAAAGGUUUGGUCCUGGCCUUACUGUUAAUUUUUAUUAGACCUACACAUGCAAGUUUCCGCACCCCAGUGAGUAUGCCCUUUUAACUUGUCUAGAGUAUAAAGGAGCUGGUAUCAGGCACACUUAAUUAAGCAGCCCAUGACACCUUGUUCUACCACACCCCCACGGGUAACAGCAGUGACUAACAUUGAGCCAUAAACGAAAGUUUGACUAAAUCAUAAUAAACAAGGGUUGGUAAAUCUCGUGCCAGCCACCGCGGUCAUACGAUUAACCCAAAUUAACAGAAAAACGGCGUAAAGGGUGUUUAAGCACAUAAACCUCACAAUAAAGUUAAAAACUAACUACGCUGUAAUACGCCCUAGUUGACAUUAAAAUACGCAACUUACGUGACUUUACUAUUGCUGAAGACACUAAAGCUAAGGUACAAACUGGGAUUAGAGACCCCACUAUGCUUAGCCGUAAACUUAGGUAAUUAAAUAACAAAAUUACUCGCCAGAGAACUACUAGCCACUGCUUAAAACUCAAAGGACUUGGCGGUGCCCUAGACCCUCCUAGAGGAGCCUGUUCUAUAAUCGAUAAACCCCGAUACACCUCACCUCUUCUAGCUAAACAGUCUAUAUACCGCCAUCGUCAGCUCACCCCAAUAGGGCUUCAAAGUGAGCAAGAUCAUCAAACAUAAAAACGUUAGGUCAAGGUGUAGCAUAUGAAGAGGGAAGCAAUGGGCUACAUUUUCUAUACUAGAACAUACGAAUUGUCUACUGAAACAAAGACAUGAAGGAGGAUUUAGUAGUAAAUUAAGAAUAGAGAGCUUAAUUGAAAUAGGCAAUAGGGUGCGUACACACCGCCCGUCACCCUCCUCAAUAAAGUAACUUUUAAUACCUAAUUAGAAUACGCAAAAAGAGGAGAAAAGUCGUAACAUGGUAAGUGUACUGGAAAGUGCACUUGGACAAUC